This 581-nucleotide ribosomal RNA is filed under the name uncultured bacterium. RNAcentral describes it as "bacterial SSU rRNA". It matches the Rfam family "Bacterial small subunit ribosomal RNA", at positions 102 to 694 of the family's 1533-position model. The record is from RNAcentral.
AAGGGAGAGGAAUACGUAGAAAUCUACCCCUGAGACCGGGAUAGCGUCGGGAAACUGGCAGUAAUACCGGAUAAUGUCUUAGGACCAAAGGUGUGAUUCCACUUGGGGAUGAGUCUACGCCCUAUUAGCUAGUUGGUGGGGUAAUGGCCUACCAAGGCGAUGAUGGGUAGCGGGUGUGAGAGCAUGAUCCGCCUCACUGGGACUGAGAACUGCCCAGACACCUACGGGUGGCUGCAGUCGAGAAUCUUUGUCAAUGGACGAAAGUCUGAACAAGCGACGCCGCGUGCGGGAUGAAGGCCUUCGGGUUGUAAACCGCUGUCGUAGGGGAACAAAUGUACGGGGGUUCUCCCCUGUAUUUGAGUGAUCCCAGGAGGAAGGAGAGGCUAAGCUCGUGCCAGCAGCCGCGGUAAGACGAGCUCUCCAAACGUUAUUCGGUAUCACUGGGCUUAAAGAGUUCGUAGGCGGCCUAGCAGGUCAGGUGUGAAAUCCCACAGCUCAACUGUGGAAUAGCGCUUGAAACCGUUAGGCUUGAGGGAGAUAGAGGUAGGCGGAACAGAUGGUGGAGCGGUGAAAUGCGUUGA